CAGCCGCCACGGGAAUGCGUAGGUGGCAAGCGUUGUCCGGAAUUAUUGGGCGUAAAGGGCUCGCAGGCGGUUUCUUAAGUCUGAUGUGAAAGCCCCCGGCUCAACCGGGGAGGGUCAUUGGAAACUGGGAAACUUGAGUGCAGAAGAGGAGAGUGGAAUUCCACGCGUAGCGGUGAAAUGCGUAGAGAUGUGGAGGAACACCAGUGGCGAAGGCGACUCUCUGGUCUGCAACUGACGCUGAGGAGCGAAAGCGUGGGGAGCGAACAGGAUUAGAUACCCCUGUAGUCCCUGUCUCUUAUAC
RNAcentral lists this ribosomal RNA (301 nucleotides) under uncultured bacterium. Its description in RNAcentral is "partial 16S ribosomal RNA". It matches the Rfam family "Bacterial small subunit ribosomal RNA", at positions 509 to 807 of the family's 1533-position model. The record is from RNAcentral.